GACAAAGUCAAGGAGACUUCAAAGAUGAGAAAUGAUUGCACUGGGCCUUAGAGAGGAAGUUCAGCAGAACAAGUAAGAGGCACUGAUGGUGAACAAAUAUAGAGACUGGAAUCCAGUGACGUCACACAGGCGCUCUGGAAGCCAGUGAUGCAGUAUCAGAAUCUGGGAACACAAUGAGGCAAUGUUUCAGCUGCUUGUGCAUUCUUCACCUCCCAUUGUCUCUGUCUCUCUCUUUCUCCUCUGCUUCCCCUCACCCCACAACCAAAGUCAAGAGCGCAGACCCCAUGAUCACCUGAUACUUCCAAGCAAGCAGGUGUUCUUUUCAGAAGCCAGAAGCUGAUAACCUGGGCUUUCUGAUCUAACCCCAGCCCAAAUUCAUUGCAAUGGAGGAAUUGGGGAGGAGAUUCUUCCUACUGAGAAGUGGGUGCCAACUCUCCCUUUCAAAUUUGUUCAUCAACAAACUAAAGGGGAUGCCAGAAAUGUCUGGAGCAAUGGAAGAACCACUGGAAUAAUGCUCCUGCCUGAUUGUAUCUACUUAACCCACUCUCCAAGAGCCAGAAUCAGAUUUCAACCGUAUGGAAUCAUCUACAAUGCAGCAGAUGGGUUUACAAGUCUCUUGGUCUCUUCAUGAAGAAGGCGCAGCAAUCGUGUCCCAAGUCCUUGAGGACUUCACAGGGUGUUCUAGUGUCCUGAGAAUAUACCUGCCUAAGGGCGUAUCUGUUAGGGAGACUCCCAUGAGGGAGGGGAGCCGAGGGAAGAGGCUGAGUGAGGUGAAGAGAGUGUGUUUGUCCCUCCAGCUGUGCCAGGGUCUUCUCAGCCCUUCUCACAGAGGGCUGUCUGUGGACCUCUGUUCCUGGAAUCACCCCUCUGCACCACCCAAACUCCCUGAUUAUGAAUUACACAAUACAUCCCUAAUUCAAGCAUGCUGCACCGGUUUUCUGUAGUCACAUGAAAAUUAACUUACAGAAAUUCACUUUUAUUGAAUACCUACUGUGUGGUAGGCACUGUGGUGGGAUUCUGCCAUUCGAGAAUCUCAGACUAAGAUCAUCUGUUUCAACAAGCAUCGAUCAAGCACCCACAUUGCAGCUGGCACUCUGCUUGAUGGUGAGAUGAGUGUCAAGACCAGUUCCUUAUUUUACAGGGAAGGCCAUCAAGGUUGAAAGUGGAAAUUUCCCAAGGUCAGAGACAGAGUGGUAGAGCCAGUCCAUGCAUUCUGGUCUCCUGUCUCCUGUUCCAGUGCUCAUUCGUGACACUGCUGCUCUCCCUAACACUUCAUCCCACGAGAAUACUCUUGAGAAUAUUGUUCUUGGCUGUUCCAAAUAGAAAGAUCAUCUGUCCAUUAUUCAGGUGAUAUGGGCUGAGGUCUUGCCUCUUCUAGUCACUUGGAGAAAGUUCCAGAAGCAAAGACUAUGUACCUAAUAUUCCUUUAACUCUGUUUUCCUGGGGCCAUAUUUAACUGUGGGUGUUUUCUGUUUCAACUGGUGGCCUGUGGGAAAGAGGUAGUGCCUGGCAGGCUGGCCAAGGACACGGGGACUAAAGAACAAUGUUGGAAGGAGAUGGGGGCAGCGUGAGGGAGGAGGCGAAGACAUAUUGUGGGGGAGUCUUCACCCCAAUUGAAGUCACCUAAAAUCACUCCUUUGUAACUAGAAGACUAAGAAAC
RNAcentral lists this long non-coding RNA (1660 nucleotides) under Homo sapiens (human). Its description in RNAcentral is "HSALNT0366334". The record is from RNAcentral. Lineage: Eukaryota; Metazoa; Chordata; Mammalia; Primates; Hominidae.